GAUGACCCCAGCAGAGAGAUCAGCACGCCGGAGCAACACAGCACAGCGGUCUCCUGGGUAACCGUGGUAACAGAGAAGGUCAGCUCCGUUCUGUCGUCCAAUGAGACGCAGAGCCUGAACAAACUCCUGCUCUUCUACGUGAUGCUUGCGAUUCUUCUCCUGUUGUCGUCUGGUUACAUCGGUUUGCGGAUCAUGGCGCUGGAGCAGAAGCUGAGCAUUCUGGGAUCGAUGCCGGAGUUCACAAUGCAGACAGAGUGAGUUCACACAUUCAUCAU
Molecule: long non-coding RNA, 275 nt
Filed under: Sinocyclocheilus anshuiensis
Lineage: Eukaryota; Metazoa; Chordata; Actinopteri; Cypriniformes; Cyprinidae
Description: lncRNA (ENSSANG00000014525.1)
Source: RNAcentral